UACAGAGGUCCCAAGCGUUGUUCGGAUUCCCUGGGCGUAAAGGGUGCGUAGGUGGUGAGGUAAGUCGGAUGUGAAAUCUCCGGGCUCAACCCGGAAAUGGCAUUGGAAACUACCUUGCUGGAGGAUUUGAGGGGGGAUUGGAAUACUUGGUGUAGCAGUGAAAUGCGUAGAUAUCAAGUGGAACACCAGUGGCGAAGGCGAAUCCCUGGAAAAUACCUGACACUGAGGCACGAAAGCUAGGGGAGCAAACAGG
RNAcentral lists this ribosomal RNA (253 nucleotides) under uncultured bacterium. Its description in RNAcentral is "partial 16S ribosomal RNA". It matches the Rfam family "Bacterial small subunit ribosomal RNA", at positions 524 to 776 of the family's 1533-position model. The record is from RNAcentral.